This 497-nucleotide ribosomal RNA is filed under the name uncultured bacterium. RNAcentral's name for it is "partial 16S ribosomal RNA". It matches the Rfam family "Bacterial small subunit ribosomal RNA", at positions 28 to 507 of the family's 1533-position model. The record is from RNAcentral.
GAUGAACGCUGGCGGCGUGCCUAAUACAUGCAAGUCAAGCGAACAGACGAGGAGCUUGCUCCUCUGACGUUAGCGGCGGACGGGUGAGUAACACGUGGAUAACCUACCUAUAAGACUGGGAUAACUUCGGGAAACCGGAGCUAAUACCGGAUAAUAUAUUGAACCGCAUGGUUCAAUAGUGAAAGACGGUUUUGCUGGCACUUAUAGAUGGAUCCGCGCCGCAUUAGCUAGUUGGUAAGGUAACGGCUUACCAAGGCAACGAUGCGUAGCCGACCUGAGAGGGUGAUCGGCCACACUGGAACUGAGACACGGUCCAGACUCCUACGGGAGGCAGCAGUAGGGAAUCUUCCGCAAUGGGCGAAAGCCUGACGGAGCAACGCCGCGUGAGUGAUGAAGGUCUUCGGAUCGUAAAACUCUGUUAUUAGGGAAGAACAAAUGUGUAAGUAACUAUGCACGUCUUGACGGUACCUAAUCAGAAAGCAACGGCUAACUACGUG